UACGUAGGGGGCGAGCGUUGUCCGGAUUUAUUGGGCGUAAAGAGCUCGUAGGCGGCUUAGCAAGUCGGGUGUGAAAACUCCAGGCUCAACCUGGAGACGCCACUCGAGACUGCUAUGGCUAGAGUCCGGUAGGGGACCACGGAAUUCCUGGUGUAGCGGUGAAAUGCGCAGAUAUCAGGAGGAACACCGGUGGCGAAGGCGGGUCUCUGGACAGUUCCUGACGCUGAGGCACGAAGGUCAGGGGAGCAAACGGG
Molecule: ribosomal RNA, 254 nt
Filed under: uncultured bacterium
Lineage: Bacteria
Description: partial 16S ribosomal RNA
Rfam family: Bacterial small subunit ribosomal RNA
Source: RNAcentral